Ornithorhynchus anatinus (platypus) is the source of this 621-nucleotide long non-coding RNA. RefSeq lists it as uncharacterized. The record is from RefSeq and is a predicted model, not a curated record. The transcript has 6 exons. NCBI's taxonomy places the organism in Eukaryota, Metazoa, Chordata, Mammalia, Monotremata, Ornithorhynchidae.
CUCAGGUGCAUGAGAAGGCUAAAAUUCCACAGUCCUCUGAAGGGUUACGGCGGCGGAAGAGGGAAUCAAAGUUUGAUUCGACUCUCACGAUUCAACUAAGGCUCCAGAUUUUCUGGGAUCUCUGGUCUUCCCGGAACGGCUACUUGGGUAGCCUUCCCGGGAUGGGUCCCGGAAACCACGAGGGACGACGGAUUUUACUUUGGAAGACAACGUUCACAGGCCUGAUGCCGUCAGAGAUUCAGGUGGAAUGAGAGAGUUCGUCUGAAAUAUAAUGGUAGAAAAUGCCCUCGCAAAUAAAUCAACCAGCAAGGAGAAUCUGCACAAGUCUCAGAUUUCCUUAAGAAAUCACCUCCCGCCCACCAGGCACGUGGGAUACUGGACCUGCUGAGCUUCUUGGAGACCGGAUAUACUUCGUUGGAAGAAAAGAAAAUUAGAAAUGAAACCAAGGAUUCUAAAUUCACAGUUGCUCCGUGGAAGAGGGACCUACGUUAGCCACUGGUUCCAAUCAGAAAUCCUUGGGCGACGCUAACCGGAAAAAAUCGUGAGGGAGCGCUUGACACCCCGAUACUUCUUUCCCUCCUGGGCUCCCCGACAGAGAAUAGCUGAUUUCCUGAAUGACCU